GACGAGCGCUGGCGGCGUGCUUAACACAUGCAAGUCGAGCGGUAAGGCCCUUUCGGGGGUACACGAGCGGCGAACGGGUGAGUAACACGUGGGUGACCUGCCCUCAGCUCUGGGAUAAGCCUGGGAAACCGGGUCUAAUACCGGAUAUGACUCCAUGACGCAUGUUGUGGGGUGGAAAGCCUUGUGCGGCUGAGGAUGGGCCCGCGGCCUAUCAGCUUGUUGGUGGGGUGAUGGCCUACCAAGGCGACGACGGGUAGCCGGCCUGAGAGGGCGACCGGCCACACUGGGACUGAGACACGGCCCAGACUCCUACGGGAGGCAGCAGUGGGGAAUCUUGCGCAAUGGGCGAAAGCCUGACGCAGCGACGCCGCGUGAGGGAUGACGGCCUGGUGUAACU
RNAcentral lists this ribosomal RNA (397 nucleotides) under uncultured bacterium. RNAcentral's name for it is "bacterial SSU rRNA". It matches the Rfam family "Bacterial small subunit ribosomal RNA", at positions 28 to 430 of the family's 1533-position model. The record is from RNAcentral.